RNAcentral lists this ribosomal RNA (421 nucleotides) under uncultured archaeon. RNAcentral describes it as "bacterial SSU rRNA". It matches the Rfam family "Archaeal small subunit ribosomal RNA", at positions 459 to 880 of the family's 1478-position model. The record is from RNAcentral.
CAGCCGCCGCGGUAAUACCAGCUCUCCGAGUGGUGUGGACGUUUAUUGGGCCUAAAGCAUCCGUAGCUGGCUGAACAAGUCCCCUGUUAAACCCACCGAUUUAAUCGUUGGCGUGCGGGGGAUACUGCUUGGCUAGGGGACGAGAGAGGCAGACGGUAUUCCCGGGGUAGGGGUGAAAUCCUAUAAUCCCGAGAAGACCACCAGUGGCGAAGGCUGUCUGCUUGAACGCGCCCGACGGUGAGGGAUGAAAGCUGGGGGAGCGAACCGGAUUAGAUACCCGGGUAGUCCCAGCUGGAAACGAUGCAGACUAGGUGUUUGGACGGCCACGUGCCGUUCUAGUGCCGCAGGGAAGCUGUUAAGUCUGCCGCCUGGGGAGUACGAUCGCAAGGUUGAAACUUAAAGGAAUUGGCGGGGGAGCACA